Molecule: transfer RNA, 74 nt
Filed under: Ixodes scapularis (black-legged tick)
Lineage: Eukaryota; Metazoa; Arthropoda; Arachnida; Ixodida; Ixodidae
Description: tRNA-Ser for anticodon AGA
Rfam family: tRNA
About the family: Transfer RNA (tRNA) molecules are approximately 80 nucleotides in length. Their secondary structure includes four short double-helical elements and three loops (D, anti-codon, and T loops).
Source: RNAcentral
GCCAAGAUGGUCUAAUCGGUUAAGGCGUCGCCACAGACAGGCGAAGGUUGCGGGUUCAAUCCCCUCUCCUGGCC